This 523-nucleotide long non-coding RNA is filed under the name Marmota monax (woodchuck). Lineage: Eukaryota; Metazoa; Chordata; Mammalia; Rodentia; Sciuridae. The record is from RNAcentral.
UUGAGAUUUUCCAGACUGAAUUUUGUUCCCUUACAAAAGGGGUUAAAAUGAUCUUUGGCAAACUACCAGAUGACUACAAAUACAUUUAACUCGACCUUGCUCCAAUAUUAACAUUUUCACAAACCACAGUAGACAGACCCUUGCUGUUUCUUCAUUAUCCUUUCCAGCUGUGGCUGAAAGCCCAAAUGAUUCCACUUUACCCGAGAGGUAUUCUGAACGUGUUUCCUACUUUAAUCACAUCCUUUCAGCACCAGGAGGCUUCGCCUGACAGAUUAUCUUCUCCACAGGCAGGCAGCCACAUCCAGACUUUGAUGGGGUCCCAAAGCCUGCAGCAUCGCAGCCGGGAGCAGCAGCCAUAUGAAGGAAAUAUAAACAAAGUGACCAUCCAGCAAUUUCAGUCACCAUUGCCUAUUCAGAUCCCCUCUUCACAGGCCACGCGGGGACCUCAGCCUGGACGGUGCUUAAUUCAAACUAAAGGGCAAAGGAGUAUGGAUGGCUAUCCAGAGCAGGUGAGAAGAAUUGU